This is a long non-coding RNA of Lineus longissimus, 531 nucleotides long. RefSeq lists it as uncharacterized. The transcript is spliced from 3 exons. Lineage: Eukaryota; Metazoa; Nemertea; Pilidiophora; Heteronemertea; Lineidae. The record is from RefSeq and is a predicted model, not a curated record.
AAGAGAGGUGCAACGGCCACGCGGGACUCUGCAAACUCAAAUUUAACAAAGUAACAUUUCCUGGAACUCACAACUCAGGGUCGAAUAGGGUCAUGAAGUACGGUAUUGGUAUUCCCGCUUUAUCCUGCUUAUACAGGAACCAAGAUUACACUUUCACAGCCCAAUUGGAUUUUGGAAUUCGAUUUUUCGACAUUGACACUCGUGCCAAGGGAAAUACCGCUUACGCGAGUCACAACACAGCUUACGGACGAAAAUUAUGGGAGAUUAUACGAGACAUUGACAGCUGGUUGAAUAAUCCAUCGCACAGGAACGAGGUUAUUGCCAUUCGAUUCCAGGACACCACAAUGCCCUCCGGCUUCGACAGGUUCAUCCCCAUCUUCAGAGAAUACUUUACUGGAGCAAACGGGAAAGUCAGCAGCAAUGCGAUGAUGGGUUGGCCGACUCUGGGAGAAGCAGUGGCACAAAAUAAGCGCGUGUUCAUUUUUAUGGUGGACAAGCUUUGUAACAGCAACUGUCGGAGGCGUUACCCCU